Salmo salar (Atlantic salmon) is the source of this 393-nucleotide non-coding RNA. The record is from RefSeq and is a predicted model, not a curated record. NCBI's taxonomy places the organism in Eukaryota, Metazoa, Chordata, Actinopteri, Salmoniformes, Salmonidae.
UGACUAAGUACAUCAUCGGAUGUAUGGCCCUGAUAGGAUUCAUGAUUCUACCUGCAGUAUUCAUAUUCUACAUCACCUGUCUCCUCUCACUGAAAGCAAAGAGGAACGGACACCUCGUCAUAACAAGAUCGCCCAGUGACCAGACAUUGCCAGGAGACACUACCGUAACAAGAAGGUGAAGAUGAUUGGUGCUAUGCCACCGUGUCCCAUGCUGAUGCUCCUCCAUCCUACUCAGUCAAGUUUGAGGAAGGCCAUGACUAUGCCACAAUGGUCAUAUACUGACCAGCAUGUGCCGACCUGAAUGGACAUGAAAGGACUUCCACAUAGAUAGAUUGUUUGACUUUAACACCUCCAUUUAAAUUUUCUUUCCAAUAAAUCAAUUGCACUAAUCUA